RNAcentral lists this ribosomal RNA (253 nucleotides) under uncultured bacterium. RNAcentral's name for it is "partial 16S ribosomal RNA". It matches the Rfam family "Bacterial small subunit ribosomal RNA", at positions 524 to 776 of the family's 1533-position model. The record is from RNAcentral.
UACAGAGGGUGCGAGCGUUAAUCGGAAUGACUGGGCGUAAAGGGUGCGUAGGUGGUUAGUUAAGUUCACUGUGAAAUCCCCGGGCUCAACCUGGGAAUUGCAGCGAAUACUGAUUGGCUUGAGUAGGUGAGAGGAGUGUGGAAUUUCCGGUGUAGCGGUGAAAUGCGUAGAGAUCGGAAAGAACACCAGUGGCGAAGGCGGCACUCUGGCACCAUACUGACACUGAGGCACGAAGGCGUGGGGAGCAAACAGG